CCAAUCAAAAGCGCGAGUCUGGAGCCGAAGUUGUGGGGGGAAUCGCCAAGCGUACCAGUUUUGGAGGUCACAGGUCCGCGGGGCGCAGCUAAUGGCGGAGCAAGCUGUGAGGGGAGGGUCGUCCAAUUGUCGUCAGCGUGAACGCGGGCGCCCAGUGAGUGUCUGAGAGAACCCCAACUCCAGACCCCAAAGUCUGCCCCGGCCCCGCGCUCGUCUCUGCCUCGUCGACUUUGUGUUAUACCACUUUCCCUUCCUUUUUCCCUGAGGAGUCCUUUUGGUCCCUCCCCUGCCUUUUCCCGCUCAGAAAGCCGAAUUUCGCAGAUUCUCAGCUCCGAGGAGAAAAUUUUGCCGGAAAUUAAAUCCUUCCUUCUGUUAGGCAGUAGUCGACUGAUGGGAGGAGCUAAAAGUCACUUGGUGUCCUGACAAGAUGUGUUACUCUUUUGCUAAGAUCGUCAUCUCUAAUGCUUUGAGGGAGAUAACUUCUGCACACCUAGAACUUUCGGAUUACUACCGAGCUUGAAGAAUCUUAUUUUGGAAGAGACUUUUUGGUUUUUCUAGACAUUGGACUUUCAUGUACAGUUAAAUUUUCAAGAUAAUUUUGGAGACUAACAUGGAGUUUUUUACUUUCAUUUUUGCCAAGGUAUUACACCAGUACCAGAAGACAGAACAAUGAACACAACAGUUUGGGUCCCUAAGGAGUAAAAUAAGCUAAAAAGGAAAAUAACAUUUCAAAGAAGAACCAAAGGGCUUCCCUGGUGGUGCAGUGGUUAAGAAUCCGCCUGCCAAGCCAGGGGACACGGGUUCAAGCCCUGGUCCGGGAAGAUCCCACAUGCUGCGGAGUGGCUAAGCCCAUGCGCCACAACUACUGAGCCUGCGCUCUAGAGCCCACGAGCCACAACUACUGAGCCCACGUGCUGCAACUACUGAAGCCCAUGCGCCUAGAGCCCGUGCUCCACAACAAGAGAAGCCACCACAAUAAGAAGCCGGUGCACCGCAACGAAGAGCAGCCCCUGCUUGCCGCAAAAGCCUGCACGCAGCAACGAAGACCCAACACUGGCAAAAAUAAAUAAAUAAAUAAAUUUAUUUUAAAAAAAGAAAAAACAGUCAAGUAGGGUAAUAGCUGUUUUAUGUAUAUGGAUUUCUCCCAUCACCCAAAUUUCUACUCGCCUUUUUCCCAGGGCCCUUGGUCACCUGAAUCCCACCACAUCCUGUGCUUGAUGAGAGUUCCCAAAUGCCUCUAUUUGAGCAUACCUCAGCUCCUUGUUUUGAUCCCAGAAAUACCCUCACCUAUCCAGGAUAUUCUAAGUGCCACAGAUGUUUAAAAGUCCAGUUCAUCCUCCCAGGCAGCCUUUAAAGGAAGUAGAUAGAUAUUCAUGUAUUUCUGCCAGAUAUAAAACUCUCUCGUUCUUGGCCUCUAUAAUGCCACUGUUUCCUGGUUUUCCUUUAUCCCUUGAUUAUUCAUUUCUUUUUUUACAGCUUUCUUUUAGUUUGCUCUUCACAAAUU
Eubalaena glacialis (North Atlantic right whale) is the source of this 1504-nucleotide long non-coding RNA. RefSeq lists it as uncharacterized. Lineage: Eukaryota; Metazoa; Chordata; Mammalia; Artiodactyla; Balaenidae. The record is from RefSeq and is a predicted model, not a curated record. The transcript is spliced from 4 exons.